This 488-nucleotide ribosomal RNA is filed under the name uncultured bacterium. Its description in RNAcentral is "partial 16S ribosomal RNA". It matches the Rfam family "Bacterial small subunit ribosomal RNA", at positions 28 to 507 of the family's 1533-position model. The record is from RNAcentral.
GACGAACGCUGGCGGCGUGCUUAACACAUGCAAGUCGAACGGAAAGGCCCUGCUUUUGUGGGGUGCUCGAGUGGCGAACGGGUGAGUAACACGUGAGUAACCUGCCCUUGACUUUGGGAUAACUUCAGGAAACUGGGGCUAAUACCGGAUAGGAGCUCCUGCUGCAUGGUGGGGGUUGGAAAGUUUCGGCGGUUGGGGAUGGACUCGCGGCUUAUCAGCUUGUUGGUGGGGUAGCGGCUUACCAAGGCUUUGACGGGUAGCCGGCCUGAGAGGGUGACCGGCCACACGGGAACUGGGACGGGGUCAAGACUGCUAAGGGAGGCAGGAGGAGGGAAUAUGGGGCAAUGGGCGAAGGACGGACGGAGCGAUGCCGAGUGAGGGAUGAAGGUCUUCGGAUCGGAAAGCUGUGUUAGUAGGGAAGAAAAGAUGGGGAAGUAACGAUGCGCGUAUUGACGGGACGUAAUCAGGAAGCCAAGGCGAAGUACGUG